CGUAGGGUGCAAGCGUUAAUCGGAAUUACUGGGCGUAAAGCGUGCGCAGGCGGUUUUGUAAGUCAGAUGUGAAAUCCCCGAGCUCAACUUGGGAACUGCGUUUGAAACUACAAGACUAGAAUAUGUCAGAGGGGGGUAGAAUUCCACGUGUAGCAGUGAAAUGCGUAGAGAUGUGGAGGAAUACCAAUGGCGAAGGCAGCCCCCUGGGAUAAUAUUGACGCUCAUGUACGAAAGCGUGGGGAGCAAACAGGAUUAGAUACCCUGGUAGUCCGCGCCCUAAACGAUGUCUACUAGUUGUUGGUGGAGUAAAAUCCAUGAGUAACGCAGCUAACGCGUGAAGUAGACCGCCUGGGGAGUACGGUCGCAAGAUUA
Molecule: ribosomal RNA, 372 nt
Filed under: uncultured organism
Description: bacterial SSU rRNA
Rfam family: Bacterial small subunit ribosomal RNA
Source: RNAcentral